RNAcentral lists this long non-coding RNA (224 nucleotides) under Gossypium barbadense (sea-island cotton). Its description in RNAcentral is "long non-coding RNA (GBAR_LNC021655)". The record is from RNAcentral. Lineage: Eukaryota; Viridiplantae; Streptophyta; Magnoliopsida; Malvales; Malvaceae.
AAAAUUGUCAAAAUCAUAAAAUAACAAUCAUAAUAUCUCAUUCUAAUCGCUAUAUAUUUAUUAUUUUUCUUCUUUGUUGCGUCUAUUCCGGUCUUGACAAGGCGAGCGUUGGGGCCAUCCAAAUGCUAUUCGUAUGAAUGAUUUGGUUUGGUUUGAUGAUGGCAUUUAUAAUAUAUGAAACAUGGCAAAGCCACAGUUUCCCAUCAUGUGUUUGAUGGGGUCAA